AUCCAACACUUAUAAAAGUAACUUAAAAAAAGGGAAAAAUUCGGCAUGACCUAUGCUGUAAAACAAGAAAAUUUCGGCAUGACCAUUACUGUAAAACAACAAAUGAGUCUACCCGAAUGUUAUACCUACAUAAAAAAAACUCCCACCCACAUAUACCCCCUCGGCACGAUGGCCGGACCCUUCUCAACGUCUCGGCACGAUGGCCGGGCCCACAUUUGUCAUAUCAACCGACACGAUGGUCGGGAUCACAUCCAUGUAUCAUUAAACCAUAAACAGCAAUAACGUCAAUACUUAACCAUAAACAGCAAUAUAUACCCUAACUAAACAUAAACAACAAUAUUUAAACCCUAACUAAACAUAAACAACAACCCUAAUUUAAAAAAACUAGCAAGAUUCAACCCUAACUAACUAUAGAACUAAACAUAAACAACAAUAUUUAAACCCUAACUAAACAUAAACAAUAAGAUUCAACCCUAAUUAACUAUAGAACUAAAGAUUUUAAACCCUAACUAACCAUAAACAAUAAGAUUUUAAAACCUAACUAAACAUAAACAAUAAGAUUCAACCCUAAGCGUACCGGGG
Molecule: long non-coding RNA, 582 nt
Filed under: Brachypodium distachyon (stiff brome)
Lineage: Eukaryota; Viridiplantae; Streptophyta; Magnoliopsida; Poales; Poaceae
Description: long non-coding RNA (BDIS_LNC005659)
Source: RNAcentral